AACAAAAAAAACCUAGCUUAACCAUUGAACAUGAAAAGAUGAUCAUAAGUACAUAAACCAUAUAUAUGAGUGAGUGAGAGAGAGAGCUCCAGGAGUCCCUGAAACCAAUUCCAUUUUUUUUUUCCACCUACCCAAAAAUAAAGACAAAAAACAAAAAGAUGGAACAACUAUUAAUCUUGGAUAAACUAGCAAUGAUGUUGUAGAAAAUCC
Camellia sinensis is the source of this 210-nucleotide non-coding RNA. The record is from RefSeq and is a predicted model, not a curated record. Lineage: Eukaryota; Viridiplantae; Streptophyta; Magnoliopsida; Ericales; Theaceae.